UGGGGAAUAUUGGACAAUGGGCGAAAGCCUGAUCCAGCCAUGCCGCGUGUGUGAAGAAGGCCUUUUUGUUGUUAAGCACUUUAAGCGAGGAGGAGGCUACUUGGAUUAAUACUCUAGGAUAGUGGACGUUACUCGCAGAAUAAGCACCGGCUAACUCUGUGCCAGCAGCCGCGGUAAUACAGAGGGUGCGAGCGUUAAUCGGAUUUACUGGGCGUAAAGCGUGCGUAGGCGGCUUCUUAAGUCGGAUGUGAAAUCCCUGAGCUUAACUUAGGAAUUGCAUUCGAUACUGGGAAGCUAGAGUAUGGGAGAGGAUGGUAGAAUUCCAGUUGUAGCGGUGAAAUGCGUGGAGAUCUGGAGGAAUACCGAUGGCGAAGGCAGCCAUCUGGCCUAAUACUGACGCUGAGGUACGAAAGCAUGGGGGGCAAACAGG
This 430-nucleotide ribosomal RNA is filed under the name Acidobacteriota bacterium. RNAcentral's name for it is "Acidobacteria bacterium partial 16S ribosomal RNA". It matches the Rfam family "Bacterial small subunit ribosomal RNA", at positions 355 to 776 of the family's 1533-position model. Lineage: Bacteria; Pseudomonadati; Acidobacteriota. The record is from RNAcentral.